GUAUGCUAAUCUGUGUCUGGAAAAGGCUUGAACAUCUGUCUCUAAAAAUGUGUGGCAGUCUGGAGGCAAGAGAAAGUAUAUGCUAUUGCUAUAAAAAUCCUAAAUGGAAUCAGAAGAUUUUGUUUUGAACCCAGUUUUAGCACUGACUGGCAUAUGUGACCUUGAGCAAAAUCACCUUGGCUCUUGGGGCUUUUGUUGUCUCAUAUGGAAAUGUUUAAAUGAAAAGAGCUGCUCAAUAAAGUUCACUGUAUAAUAUACA
Long non-coding RNA from Canis lupus familiaris (dog), 259 nucleotides. RefSeq lists it as uncharacterized. The record is from RefSeq and is a predicted model, not a curated record. The transcript has 2 exons. NCBI's taxonomy places the organism in Eukaryota, Metazoa, Chordata, Mammalia, Carnivora, Canidae.